This 447-nucleotide ribosomal RNA is filed under the name uncultured bacterium. RNAcentral's name for it is "bacterial SSU rRNA". It matches the Rfam family "Bacterial small subunit ribosomal RNA", at positions 355 to 825 of the family's 1533-position model. The record is from RNAcentral.
UGGGGAAUAUUGGGCAAUGGGCGAAAGCCUGACCCAGCAACGCCGCGUGAAGGAUGAAGUAUUUCGGUAUGUAAACUUCGAAAGAAUAGGAAGAAUAAAUGACGGUACUAUUUAUAAGGUCCGGCUAACUACGUGCCAGCAGCCGCGGUAAUACGUAGGGACCAAGCGUUGUUCGGAUUUACUGGGCGUAAAGGGCGCGUAGGCGGCAAUUCAAGUCAUCUGUGAAAUCUCCGGGCUUAACUCGGAACGGUCAGAUGAUACUGCUUUGCUAGAGUGCAGAAGGGGCAAUCGGAAUUCUUGGUGUAGCGGUGAAAUGCGUAGAUAUCAAGAGGAACACCUGAGGUGAAGACGGGUUGCUGGGCUGACACUGACGCUGAGGCGCGAAAGCCAGGGGAGCAAACGGGAUUAGAUACCCAAGUAGUCCCUGAGCGGGCUGGCAAGGCGCAU